This 599-nucleotide ribosomal RNA is filed under the name uncultured bacterium. RNAcentral describes it as "bacterial SSU rRNA". It matches the Rfam family "Bacterial small subunit ribosomal RNA", at positions 60 to 676 of the family's 1533-position model. The record is from RNAcentral.
AGUCGAGCGAGUGGAGUUCUUCGGAACAAAGCUAGCGGCGGACGGGUGAGUAACACGUGGGCAACCUGCCUCAUAGAGGGGAAUAGCCUCCCGAAAGGGAGAUUAAUACCGCAUAAAAUUGUAGCUUCGCAUGAAGUAACAAUUACAGGAGCAAUCCGCUAUGAUAUGGGCCCGCGGCGCAAUAGCUAGUUGGUGAGGUAACGGCUCACCAAGGCGACGAUGCGUAGCCGACCUGAGAGGGUGAUCGGCCACAUUGGGACUGAGACACGGCCCAGACUCCUACGGGAGGCACCAGUGGGGAAUAUUGCAGGAUGGGGGAAACCCUGAUGCAGCAACGCCACGUGAGUGAUGACCGCCUUCGGGUUGUGGAUGUCUGUCUUCAGGGACUAUAAUGACAGUACCUGAGGAGGAAGCCACGGCUAACUACGUGCAAGCGUCCGCGGUAAUACGUAGGUGGCUAGCGUUGUCCGGAUUUAGUGGGCGUUAAGGGAGCUUAGGCGGGCUUUUAAGUGAGAUGUGAAAUACCCGGGCUGAACUUGGGUGCUGCAUUUCACACUGGAAGUCCAGAGUGUAGGAGAGGAGAAUGGAAUUCCUAGAGU